Molecule: ribosomal RNA, 1215 nt
Filed under: Staphylococcus kloosii
Lineage: Bacteria; Bacillati; Bacillota; Bacilli; Caryophanales; Staphylococcaceae
Description: bacterial SSU rRNA
Rfam family: Bacterial small subunit ribosomal RNA
Source: RNAcentral
UACCGAAGCUAAUGCCGGAUAACAUGUAGAACCGCAUGGUUCUACAGUGAAAGAUGGCCUUGCUAUCACUUAUAGAUGGACCCGCGCCGUAUUAGCUAGUUGGUAAGGUAACGGCUUACCAAGGCAACGAUACGUAGCCGACCUGAGAGGGUGAUCGGCCACACUGGAACUGAGACACGGUCCAGACUCCUACGGGAGGCAGCAGUAGGGAAUCUUCCGCAAUGGGCGAAAGCCUGACGGAGCAACGCCGCGUGAGUGAUGAAGGUCUUCGGAUCGUAAAGCUCUGUUAUUAGGGAAGAACAAGUGCGUAAGUAACUGUGCGCACCUUGACGGUACCUAAUCAGAAAAGCCACGGGUUGACUGCGGGGCCAGCAGCCGCGGUAAUACGUAGGUGGGCAAGCGUUAUCCGGGAAUUUAUUGGGGCGUAAAGCGCGCGUAGGCGGUUUCUUAAGUCUGAUGUGAAGCCCACGGCUCAACCCGUGGAGGGUCAUUGGAAACUGGGAGACUUGAGUGCAGAAGAGGAAAGUGGAAUUCCAUGUGUAGCGGUGAAAUGCGCAGAGAUAUGGAGGAACACCAGUGGCGAAGGCGACUUUCUGGUCUGUAACUGACGCUGAUGUGCGAAAGCGUGGGGAUCAAACAGGAUUAGAUACCCUGGUAGUCCACGCCGUAAACGAUGAGUGCUAAGUGUUAGGGGGUUUCCGCCCCUUAGUGCUGCAGCUAACGCAUUAAGCACUCCGCCUGGGGAGUACGACCGCAAGGUUGAAACUCAAAGGAAUUGACGGGGACCCGCACAAGCGGUGGAGCAUGUGGUUUAAUUCGAAGCAACGCGAAGAACCUUACCAAAUCUUGACAUCCUUUGACCACUCUGGAGACAGAGCUUUCCCCUUCGGGGGACAAAGUGACAGGUGGUGCAUGGUUGUCGUCAGCUCGUGUCGUGAGAUGUUGGGUUAAGUCCCGCAACGAGCGCAACCCUUAAGCUUAGUUGCCAUCAUUAAGUUGGGCACUCUAAGUUGACUGCCGGUGACAAACCGGAGGAAGGUGGGGAUGACGUCAAAUCAUCAUGCCCCUUAUGAUUUGGGCUACACACGUGCUACAAUGGACAAUACAAAGGGCAGCUAAACCGCGAGGUCAUGCAAAUCCCAUAAAGUUGUUCUCAGUUCGGAUUGUAGUCUGCAACUCGACUACAUGAAGCUGGAAUCGCUAGUAAUCGUAGAU